ACAAACGACUCUCGGCAACGGAUAUCUCGGCUCACGCAUCGAUGAAGAACGUAGCAAAAUGCGAUACUUGGUGUGAAUUGCAGAAUCCCGUGAACCAUCGAGUUUUUGAACGCAAGUUGCGCCCGAAGCCAUUCGGCCGAGGGCACGUCUGCCUGGGCGUCACGC
Molecule: ribosomal RNA, 165 nt
Filed under: Olearia tomentosa
Lineage: Eukaryota; Viridiplantae; Streptophyta; Magnoliopsida; Asterales; Asteraceae
Also listed under: 4 other names
Description: 5.8S ribosomal RNA
Rfam family: 5.8S ribosomal RNA
About the family: 5.8S ribosomal RNA (5.8S rRNA) is a component of the large subunit of the eukaryotic ribosome.
Source: RNAcentral